UGCAUCUGCAGCCCAUGAGGAUGAGAACCUCCGGGGGCAGGGAGGUUCGACUCGAGCGAAGCGAGAGAACGUUGCGCCAGCAACGGCCCGCAGGGCGAG
This 99-nucleotide small RNA is filed under the name Escherichia coli. RNAcentral's name for it is "partial RtT sRNA". It matches the Rfam family "RtT RNA", at positions 1 to 95 of the family's 130-position model. Rfam says of the family: This family represents a bacterial cis-regulatory element known as RtT RNA. The record is from RNAcentral. Lineage: Bacteria; Pseudomonadati; Pseudomonadota; Gammaproteobacteria; Enterobacterales; Enterobacteriaceae.